AGAUUGAACGCUAGCGGGAUGCUUUACACAUGCAAGUCGAACGGCAGCGCGGACUUCGGUCUGGCGGCGAGUGGCGAACGGGUGGGUAAUAUAUCGGAACGUGCCCAGUAGCGGGGGAUAACUACGCGAAAGCGUGGCUAAUACCGCAUACGCCCUACGGGGAAAGGGGGGGAUUCGUUCGGAACCUCUCACUAUUGGAGCGGCCGAUAUCAGAUUAGCUAGUUGGUGAGGUAAAGCUCACCAAGGCGACGAUCUGUAGCUGUUUGAGAGGGCGAACCGAGCCACACUGGGACUGAGACACGCCCAGACUCCUAACGGGAGGCAGCAGGUGGGGAAUUUUAGGAACAAAGUAGGGGGAAACCCUAGGAUCCAAGCCACGUCCCGACGU
RNAcentral lists this ribosomal RNA (388 nucleotides) under uncultured soil bacterium. Its description in RNAcentral is "bacterial SSU rRNA". It matches the Rfam family "Bacterial small subunit ribosomal RNA", at positions 26 to 402 of the family's 1533-position model. The record is from RNAcentral.